AAGCAGAGAAGAAAGAAAUGCACCGGUGUCUCUCCCUGAAUUAACCAGAAGGCUCACAGAGGCAAACGAGAGAAUAGCUGAGUUUCCAGAGAGUGUAAAGGCCUGGCCCUUUCCAGAUGUGCUGGAGUGCUGUCUCGUCUUACUUCACAUCGGGUCCCAGUGUCCUGGUGCUGUGAACCCUGAGAUGCAGCAACAGGCCCAGAAGCUCCUUCAGAAGUAUGGCCACACUAGAGCUUACAGAAGACACUGCCAGAUUCGACACACAUGAACUUCCAGAGGCCAUAAAGCUGUGCCACACAACCCAUGACAGCUCUCACCUCAGUCUCAGCUCACCAGGCCUUCACCCUGACCUUCGAUGGAAGGAGGCUGUGAUCCAACUGACAGAUGAGAGUGCAGCUUGAAUCCGCUCACACAAUGGAGCCUGCCUGGUGCCUCCCAAGUGGCUUCCUGUAGUGGAGGGAAAAGCCAGCAGGGUCACUAAGAACUAACCCCUGCCAAGACUGUCUCACGCCUUACAUGGUUUCCCCAAAGAGAAGCCUUUGUAUUUACCCAAAGUCUGUCUACCCCAGAUGCAGCUGCCUUUAUAAACCCUCACCAUCAGAA
Molecule: long non-coding RNA, 603 nt
Filed under: Rattus norvegicus (Norway rat)
Lineage: Eukaryota; Metazoa; Chordata; Mammalia; Rodentia; Muridae
Description: long non-coding RNA NONRATT005454
Source: RNAcentral